Molecule: long non-coding RNA, 230 nt
Filed under: Lathyrus oleraceus (garden pea)
Lineage: Eukaryota; Viridiplantae; Streptophyta; Magnoliopsida; Fabales; Fabaceae
Description: Pisum sativum (pea) long non-coding RNA (PSAT_LNC038318)
Source: RNAcentral
AGUAGUCCACAUUUUUUUGAUUUUUUGAUUUUUAUUUUUAUUCCUUUGAUUUUCAUUAAUUCAUAUUAAUUUUAAUAUUGAUCCAAAAAAUAUGAGAGGUUCACCAAAAUAAUUUAAAUAAAAUCCUCUUUCAUUUUCUGAAUUAAAAUUAUUUUUUUGAUCAUUAUUAAUAUUUUUCAUGAUUUAAUUGAUUUUGUGAAUAUUUUUAAUUGUUUAAAACUACUUUUAAG